RNAcentral lists this long non-coding RNA (3838 nucleotides) under Nicotiana tabacum (common tobacco). Its description in RNAcentral is "long non-coding RNA (NTAB_LNC016893)". Lineage: Eukaryota; Viridiplantae; Streptophyta; Magnoliopsida; Solanales; Solanaceae. The record is from RNAcentral.
AUUUAAAUUAAAAGUCAAACUUUAUUUGGGCUAUUAAAUUUGCUUCUAAAAGAUGAGCUUGUUUCAUUAGCCUAAGGUCCAGAUGGCUACUAGUUCAUCCUAAAGCCCAGUCUAAUGUCACAUGCCAAAUUACGUGGCGCCAAGUCAAAUAAAGCGGUUCAUAAAAUCCUACCAUAUGUUAAGCUAUGAAGCAUUCAAAGUCUCCCUCUAAAUGUGAGAUCUUCGUACGUGAUCAAAUCCGAAGAUGAAGUACAAAUCAAGAUUCCAGACAGGUGGUCUCGAAUCUUUAUAGCUGAAUCUUAAAUACUGGUUCAUGACAAUCAUCAUAUUAACGAAGCACAAUAAAUUCAAUACCAAGAUCUUGAAUCAAAUUCGAAGUCCGUCAAGUUCAAGAUCAAGCUCUCGAUCCUUUGAUUGAUGUUUAUUAGGAGAAGAAUCUGAGGACUUCAUUGUUUAACCAAAAUAUAAAAUUUUAGUCAAAGCUAGAAUUUAAAAGAACACGGGUUACUGAUAAUCAAAAGAGUGUAUAAAAUGAAGUAAUUUAGGUAGCAAGAAAGUAAUCAAGAGAAAAACAAGUAAACCAAAGUUUAUAUCGAUAGUAUUUCGUGUCCUUACAAUUGAUCAGAUAUCUCCCUUUUAUAAAUAUCUUGGAGAUAUACAUUUUGCCCAAAUCAUAAUGAGGCUAUUAUGAGUAAUUAAAGACAUUUAAUGCUACGUUACAUAAUCAUUACAUUCAAUACAAAUUCUCUAACGUAUUCCACAUUUAAUGCCUAUUAAAUGUCGUAUCUGCACUCUUUUCUAUUGUUAGAGUCAUUCCUUUUGAUUGUCGGACAUAAAUGACUUAGAUAGGUCGGGCGCUGGGUAAUUUGUAUACCUGCCCGUGCCUCUUCCUCUGCCAUUUGCUCGUAUCUAUUGCAACUCGUGCCUCUUGGCUAGUUGUAAUUCUUUGAUCAUUUGUCCAGUCUACGUGUUUCGACACGUCACCUUUAUAUUUAAAUACAAUUUUUUCCAAUACAGAUAGUCCCCCCCCAUUCCAUUUAUUCAUCAGUUGAAUAUUUGGGAAGUGGACUUCAUUAAAAGAGAAUUUUUGUCACCAUUAAUGCUAUGACAAAAUUGACGCUUCAAUUGUCGCUUCCAUUUAAUGCUCCGUACACGUGUCAUUUUUCCAUUGGUUUUGCAGUUUUGCAGCCCUUUUCAAGGCUUUUUACGGCUCUACUAUUCAUGAAGUGCCAGUUAUCAUUAUUAUGGUCCUUCCAUCACUGCACUUUUACCUUUGGCGGUGGCGUAUUAAUAUAAAUUUAACUUUUUUCCUUGUCUUUUAUCACAUAAAGCUUAUUGAACACUUAAUUCCUCAAAUCUCAGUUCACUUCUUCCUCACAUUAUUUUUCUUCGCCAUGUCUUCACCAAAUCCUAACCCUAGGAGAGUUCCCAUUGUUGAUACCUUCCCUAGUUCCCCAUUAGACAUAGAAGGGGAGGUAGGCUUCGUAGCUUAGGGUCUAGUCACGGUGGUGGUUCGUCUAUACCUUCUCCUAGUUCUGGUCCUUCUUUUAGAACCAGAGGUUCACUUUCUCACAAAUCUUCUUCUAGGGAUAAAGAACCUUCUGAACCAUUACGUGGGCCUUUAGUAGAGGAGAGAGUCCCUACAGAACUAUCUUUUUACCAUGAUAGGGAAUCUCUUAGAAACCAGGUUUCCGCUUUAGAUCGUGCUAACACUUACCCCACUCAAAUUACAGAAGUUUUGACUCCUGUAGUUCGCAAAGACCGCCAUUGGAGUAAUGAUUUUCCCAUUAUUAUCGCUAAUCCAAAUCAGAGAAUUACUUCUUACUUGACUCGAUUCUCUUUUGUUUAUACAUACCCUUUCACUUUAGGGUUCAAACUAGCUAUUGGCCCAGUCAUUCUUGAAUUUUGCCGUUUCUUUAAUGUCUGUUUGGGUCAAAUUGGCCCAAUUAUAUGGAGGGUUGUUGCCUGUUUAAGGCAUUUAACCAAUAUGGCUGACCUUUCCUUUACUUUCCCUCACCUGAUUUAUCUUUACUCCCCUAUGUCACACCUCUUUUUUUCCUACACCCCGGAAGGGAGUUUAUAAGGGAGUUUUUCCAACUUAAAGUGACAAUCGAAACGGGAUUAUUUUAUUUAAAAUCAGAGUCGCCACUUGGGAUAAUUUAUGGUGUCCCAGUCACCGGUUCAAAUCCCGAAUUGAGGAAAAGGUUGACUCUGUAUUACAGUCCGCGAACCAGAAAUUCGAGUAAGGAAUUCUGUUAAUCCGGGAGAAGGUGUUAGGCAUUCCCGAGUUUCGUGGUUCUAGCAUGGGCUCAACUGUUAUAUUCAGCUUAAUUAUCUGAUUUUAAAUAAUUAUGAACCUAUGUGCAAAUUUUAACUUAUUAACCGCUCUUAAUUAUUUUCAGGAAGAUUCAACAUUAUUUAAAACACGCCUUGAACCACGCCACAUGAAAUAUACCCACGGUCCACGACAUAUUUUAUUUAACGUUGUCGAGAAUUGAAGUUGAGUCACACGAAAUGCACACCCGAGUUUAUGGAAAUUAAUUUAAGUAGCGCGCCUAAAGCAACUAGCGCGUGUUCAUAAUUGAAUUGUUUCUUCCUAACAAAUAACUUUGAGAUUAUUACAGUCAUGGAUCAUGGACCUGGGAUGAGUUGGAGGCCACAUUAUGGUCUGGCUAUUUGAAAUUAUUCGUUAUGGAGGAAAGAGAAAGGAGAAAAGUUUUGAUUAAUACAUUCAUGCCUUGAAGCCCUUAAAAUGCUAACCAACCAAAGUGACUUAAGCCUGAAUACUUAUCUAGUUUAUCCAGGACCUAGCAGAUUAUCUUUAAAAGAGUGUGCACAUCCUACUCCCCAAAUUAAAUGAAAAUCCCUCAUCCUGAUUCUCUCAAAUAUCAAAUAACACAAUAGCCCUAUCAAUAAUCAGGCAAGAUAACAUCAAAUGGGUUAGAGAAGAGAAUUAUUAAGCUAUGGAAAUAUCAUGCUCGCAUUUAGCGUGUAGGUGAACAACUCACAAUCUCGAGCAUUCGUUAAUCUAGCUUCAAAUACACCAAGUAAAUCAAAAGAACAAACAAAGCAAUUGAAGGGGAAUAACCAGGAAAAUAAUAUCUUGACAAAUCAUAAAAGAAAAUAUCUAACUAAUGAGCAACAACAGUUAAGAAAUAGAGGUUCAUAGAGGAAGGUGAAGAAAAUGAACCUUUGAGUGAAAUAAAGUUCUUUCAUUUGCUUAAAAUUUACAGCAUCUAAAAUCAACGGCCGAUGAGCUCAAAUCGAGAAAGCUGAAAACUUUGACCGAAACUAGACCGGAAACUUCAAACGACCUUGUUGGAACCUCGGACCGGCGAACUCGAACAUCGCCUCACUUCGAAGACGGUUUCAGAACUGAGUUUGGACUGAUUUUGAAGUUGUUUUGCUGGUGAUUUCCAGCUGCGUUUUUGGCUAGGAAGCCAUGGCAGCAGGUCACUUAUUCUAUGAAGAAGAAGAUCAGGAGAUGGAAUGGGUGGUAGGUCCGAUCUGUAGCUGUCAGCUUUAGGUCCUCUGUCAGCCUUUUCUUAUGGCUUUUUGUGUGUCUUUUUCGCUAAUUGUAUGUAUUUUCACCGAUCCUCUUUGAUAUGGCCGCCUCUUGAUUUUUUAGGGUGAUCUCUUUAUAUAGAGUCUAGGUUUAGGUUAUUAUUUUUGUGUAUUUUUCAAUUAGUCCCUAGGUCUUUUUGUGUUAAGUCCUUAGGGUCUUUUUUAUUUGUUUUUGGUUCCAAAUAAGAGUCUAUAAGGGUCCCUAGACUUAAUGAACUAAUCCGAAUUGGGCCAAGAAUUGGGCUCUAAAGCUCUUAAAAUUGUGAUCCAACAC